Molecule: non-coding RNA, 85 nt
Filed under: Halobacillus karajensis
Lineage: Bacteria; Bacillati; Bacillota; Bacilli; Caryophanales; Bacillaceae
Source: RNAcentral
GAGCGCCGUAUGAAGCGAAAGUUUCACGUGCGGUGUGGGUGAGGGGAAAACAUGGAGAUCACUUCAAAGUGUUACCUAUUCACAU